GGGCGGUUAGCUCAGUUGGUCAGAGCGCCUGCCUUACAAGCAGGAGGUCCCCAGUUCGAGCCUGGGACCGCCCAUCA
RNAcentral lists this transfer RNA (77 nucleotides) under uncultured Solirubrobacteraceae bacterium. RNAcentral's name for it is "tRNA-Val-TAC". It matches the Rfam family "tRNA". Rfam says of the family: Transfer RNA (tRNA) molecules are approximately 80 nucleotides in length. Their secondary structure includes four short double-helical elements and three loops (D, anti-codon, and T loops). The record is from RNAcentral. Lineage: Bacteria; Bacillati; Actinomycetota; Thermoleophilia; Solirubrobacterales; Solirubrobacteraceae.